This 487-nucleotide ribosomal RNA is filed under the name uncultured bacterium. RNAcentral describes it as "partial 16S ribosomal RNA". It matches the Rfam family "Bacterial small subunit ribosomal RNA", at positions 28 to 507 of the family's 1533-position model. The record is from RNAcentral.
GACGAACGCUGGCGGCGUGCUUAACACAUGCAAGUCGAACGGGCUCUGUCUGGCUGUGUGCUGGGUGGGGUUAGUGGCGAACGGGUGAGUAAUACGUGAGUAACCUGCCCUCUUCUUUGGGAUAAGCCUUGGAAACGGGGUCUAAUACUGGAUAUUCCUGUCUGGUCGCAUGGCUGGGUGGGGAAAGUUUUUUUCGGUGGGGGAUGGGCUCGCGGCCUAUCAGCUUGUUGGUGGGGUGAUGGCCUACCAAGGCGUCGACGGGUAGCCGGCCUGGGAGGGUGACCGGGCACACUGGGACUGAGAUACGGCCCAGACUCCUACGGGAGGCAGCAGUGGGGGAUAUUGGACAAUGGGCGCAAGCCUGAUGCAGCGACGCCGCGUGGAGGAUGACGGCUUUCGGGUUGUAAACCUCUUUCGUCGGGGGACAAGGCUCCGCUUGGUGGUGGGGUUGAGGGUACCCGGUGAAGAAGCGCCGGCUAACUACGUG